Molecule: ribosomal RNA, 340 nt
Filed under: uncultured bacterium
Lineage: Bacteria
Description: bacterial SSU rRNA
Rfam family: Bacterial small subunit ribosomal RNA
Source: RNAcentral
GAGGAAGGUGGGGAUGACGUCAAGUCCUCAUGGCCUUUAUGUCCAGGGCUACACACGUGCUACAAUGGCGCGUACAGAGGGAAGCCAAGCCGCGAGGUGGAGCAGACCCCAGAAAGCGCGUCGUAGUUCGGAUUGCAGUCUGCAACUCGACUGCAUGAAGUCGGAAUCGCUAGUAAUCGCGGAUCAGCAUGCCGCGGUGAAUACGUUCCCGGGCCUUGUACACACCGCCCGUCACACCAUGGGAGUGGAUUGUACCAGAAGCAGCUAGCCUAACCUUCGGGAGGGCGGUUACCACGGUAUGGUUCAUGACUGGGGUGAAGUCGUAACAAGGUAGCCGUAA